This 254-nucleotide ribosomal RNA is filed under the name uncultured bacterium. RNAcentral's name for it is "partial 16S ribosomal RNA". It matches the Rfam family "Bacterial small subunit ribosomal RNA", at positions 524 to 776 of the family's 1533-position model. The record is from RNAcentral.
UACGUAGGGGGCAAGCGUUGUCCGGAUUUAUUGGGCGUAAAGAGCGUGUAGGCGGCCAGACAGGUCCGUUGUGAAAACUCGAGGCUCAACCUCGAGAUGUCGAUGGAAACCGUCUGGCUAGAGUCCGGAAGAGGAGUGUGGAAUUCCUGGUGUAGCGGUGAAAUGCGCAGAUAUCAGGAAGAACACCCGUGGCGAAGGCGGCUCCUCUGGGACGGUACUGACGCUGAGACGCGAAAGCGUGGGGAGCGAACAGG